CUAUGUAGGACAUGCUGGUGCCUCGGCGCACGGACUGGUCAACAUCUAAAACAUCAAUGGCAGCGACGCCUGUUGUCGUCAUUCAAAAUGGUGUCAGUACUCUGAUAAAUUUAUGAUCAUUGUCCCCCAAUUGCCAUGGCUAGGUGAAAACAUUAGACAAGAGACUACUACAUUCACAAUGUAGCUCAUCCUGAGCCAGCCAUUGAUUUUCUGUUUGUUGUGCGCCUCGUUUUACCUAAGCACGUCACUUGUUGCCUGGACAUGGCCUGGAGCAGACGAUAGAGAAAACUGCGUUCUUCAUAGCCUUUUGUAAAGGUAUAGAUUUUUGUGAGACUCAGAAGAUACAGAAAUAGAAAAUGAAGGGAAUUACUUCGUUGGAAAUCGUUUUGAUUGUCGCAAUGGUGAUAACGGUGACUUUCUCCGCCGAGACUAGGGGUGUUAUAUGCAAGGGAGACGGUCCAGGUUCCAUCCCGGACCCAAUACCAGACGCCAAGCAACAAGCAGCGUUCCAAUGCGCGCUGUCGUGUCUCAAAUCCGGAUCCGCUUCAUGCGCAACUUCCGGGUUCGCAAUGACGUGGGACGGGCCGGCUUGCGAGGCGAAGGGAGUCGGGGGCGCAUCGAGGACUGACUACACCUGUACAGCCAUGUAGAACGGUGACAACAUGUCUAAUUAUUCGUGUUGUAGCUGAUGCGGUCACACUGUUACACGUGUACCAUAUUUAUUUCGGGGAACAUACAUUUUCAAUUCAGUCCUUUAAGACGAUUGUCUAGUUUGACGACCACAUUUAAAUUUUCUUUAUGUUUCAAAGUAUUUCAAGAUCAUAUUGCAAACAUUAUACUUAUAGUGUAUUAUUACACUUCGACUUCUAUUUAGCCUUUUUGUUGGCGAUACAGUGGUGAAUAUCGCUGUUCACUUUUGAUCAUGAUUUUACAAAAACGCUUCAACAAGUCUCUUGUCCUUAUUGCUUGUAUGUUGAUUUUAUUCAUUGAUGUACAAUGUGUCAUGUUGUAGACCUAUGUUAAGACCUCGCCAUCAUUGUGUGAUGCGAAAUACUUGUAAUACGGUUGAAAAGGACAGGAUAUUGAACAAAAAGUAUAUCAGUAACGAUAAAAGUGAAUUAGGAAUGGCUUUAUAUUUCCUGAAGAUUUUAUGCUUUCUGCAAAAUUGUCCGAAAAAACAAUCAACACGUCGAUUGAUAUAUGAAUGUUGAAAAGAUACACAAUUUCUUUAAUUGUUUUUCUAAAUAUUUUCUACAAUUGUCAUGGUAACGGUUAUUGGCGUACUGUAAGCCAAACAAGUCAUGCUAUUGUUCCGGAAACAUUUCAGUGAGUUAUCAAUCGGGUCAGUUGUCAUUCUUAGCAGUCAUUUCAAUUCCACUUCAUUUGUCCAGCUCAGUUUCUCCGAUGUUCCAGUCUACCCAUAUUACACUGACACAAACACAAUGAUUGUAUCAACACUGUACCAGUUCCAGCGUCUAGACAGACACUUGGGGGGGAGGAGUAGUCUUGAGGUUAAAACGUCAGCUCGAAUUGGAUUCCAGACAUUUCGGCUUGGUCAUAUCUGAGGACCACCGCAGUAGGAAUAUUGCUUAGGCGGCGUAAAUUCAUACUCACUCAC
Long non-coding RNA from Haliotis rubra (blacklip abalone), 1618 nucleotides. RefSeq lists it as uncharacterized. Lineage: Eukaryota; Metazoa; Mollusca; Gastropoda; Lepetellida; Haliotidae. The transcript is spliced from 2 exons. The record is from RefSeq and is a predicted model, not a curated record.